This 417-nucleotide unclassified non-coding RNA is filed under the name Hevea brasiliensis (rubber tree). The record is from RNAcentral. Lineage: Eukaryota; Viridiplantae; Streptophyta; Magnoliopsida; Malpighiales; Euphorbiaceae.
GACUUCUCGAGCUCUGUGAAGCUCAAGUAUGUCAAGCUCGGCUAUCAGUACCUCGUCAACCACAUUCUCACCCUUCUCCUCAUCCCGGUCAUAUUCGCACUGUCCGUCGAGCUGGUCCGCUUAGGACCAGCCGAUGCGGAGGCCCUUGUGCGCUCUCUUCACGAUUUCGACCUCAUCCAUGUCCUUUGCUUGGUGUUCGUUGUGGUCACUGCGGCGACGGUUUACUUUAUGUCACGGCCACGACCAAUCUACCUUGUGGACUAUGCGUUGUUCAGCCCGCCGGCGACGUGCCGGGUGCCGUUUUCGACGUUUAUGGAGCAUAUCAUGUUGAUUAAUUUUGACCCCAAGGCUGUGAAGUUCCAGACCAGAAUAUUGGAGCGUUCAGGGCUCGGGGAGGAGACAUGCCUACCGCCCGCU